AAUAAAUACAUUCAUAGAAGGAGAAUGUGAUGGUUUCCAAAUCUUAAGAAAAAGGAGAAAAAUAUAUUGAUAGUGGUAGUCGGAUCCGAAGAAGAAGAAGAAAAAGAAAAAUAAUACGGUGGUCGUAAUGAUGGUGGCCGGAAUCUAAAGAACAAAAAUGAGGAUGAGGUGCUGGUGGUAGUGGGCGAAUUCGAAGAAGAAAGUGAUAGUAAUGGUGGUUAUGGCUAAAUCUGAAAAUGUGAAGGUGAAAGUGGUGACAGUAGCGAUAACGAUACAUACAAUAGUAGAUAGAUCUAAUAAAUGAUGAUGAUGGUGAGGAGGAGGAGGAGGAGGAGAGCUGAUGAUGGUCGGAUAUGAACAAUCAAAAGGUAGUAGUGAUAGUGAAUUUGGCC
RNAcentral lists this long non-coding RNA (392 nucleotides) under Nicotiana benthamiana. RNAcentral's name for it is "long non-coding RNA (NBEN_LNC016746)". Lineage: Eukaryota; Viridiplantae; Streptophyta; Magnoliopsida; Solanales; Solanaceae. The record is from RNAcentral.